CCAAUUCACGGAUCUCUGUCAAAGUCUGCGUAAAGUUUAUACCUUUAUGCGAAUAAUGCUUGUACCAUGGCAUCACUCACAGGGUGCUGAAGUCGUCAUCAGGUCACAGAUUAUUACAAAACUAAACAGCAAGUGGUCACUCCUUGACAGCUCCAUGUACGGCCAUAACCUAACCACAUUCAGAGAAAUGAAACCUUAAAAAAUCCAACAGAUGAAUCAAUCAAUAAUCCAAUGUAAAGCUCGCCAUCACAAUGCAGAGAUGAUAUCAACCAAUGUAUACUAGUGAUCUAAUCUAAGUUCGAUGCCGACCUCGAACUGAUCGAAGGAUCAGGGCAGAGAGAUGGCCCCAGAUUUUUUUUUUCUGGACGAACUCCAUUUUGGAUAAUGUGAUUGGCAGUAUUAGAGUGGCCCAAUCGAUGAAAGGGACAGCUUCCCGUCGCUGCACUCGUCUUCUUGCUCCGUUCUUGGACUGAUCCGGUGUGAGUCUUCCGUCAGGACAAAGCUUUGAGCCUGGGAGGCUGCCAUUGUCGACCUGUCCGUGAUGAUGGGGAUGGCUGGAUCGACCUGACGAGCCUGAAUGGAUUAUGGAUGGAUGAUGAUUAGGUCAGGUUAUUGGUUGGAUCAGAUCAGAGAAGAUAUUUCAGUAAUGGCGAUUUGACUGUACUGUUGUGGUGGAAUGCAUGAGUGAGUUUUAUAGUACGCACUAGUAUAAGAGUAUCGUGAGAAAAAG
Molecule: long non-coding RNA, 730 nt
Filed under: Oryza brachyantha (malo sina)
Lineage: Eukaryota; Viridiplantae; Streptophyta; Magnoliopsida; Poales; Poaceae
Description: long non-coding RNA (OBRA_LNC001585)
Source: RNAcentral